UGUGGAACUGGAGUCAGACAGAGGCAAGUAGAAUUCCGGGUGUAGUGGUGAAAUGCGUAGAUAUCCGGAGGAAUACCAGUGGCGAAAGCGACUUGCUGGGUCUGAACUGACGCUCAGACGCGAAAGCAUGGGGAGCGAACGGGAUUAGAAACCCCGGUAGUCCAUGCCGUAAACGAUGUCAACUAGGCGUUGGGGGCUAGAUGCCUUCAGUGCCGAAGCCAACGCGAUAAGUUGACCGCCUGGGGACUACGGCCGCAAGGCUAAAACUCAAAGGAAUUGACGGGGACCCGCACAAGCAGCGGAGCGUGUGGUUUAAUUCGAGGCUACACGAAGAACCUUACCUGGGCUUGACAUAGCGGUGGUAGAGAACCGAAAGGGGAUCGACCUUCGGGAGCCGUUACAGGUGCUGCAUGGCUGUCGUCAGCUCGCGUCGUGAGAUGUUCGGUUAAGUCCGGUAACGAGCGCAACCCUUGGGGCUAGUUACACGAGUCUAGCCCGACUGCCCGGUUCAACUGGGAGGAAGGUGGGGAUGACGUCAAGUCAGCAUGGCCUUUAUGUCCAGGGCUACACACACGCUACAAUGGCCAAUACAAUAGGUUGCCAACCCGCGAGGGGGAGCCAAUCCAAUAAAGUUGGUCUCAGUUCGGAUUGUAGGCUGCAACUCGCCUGCAUGAAGUUGGAGUUGCUAGUAAACGCAGGUCAGCUAUACUGCGUUGAAUACGUUCCCGGGUCUUGUACACACCGCCCGUCACGUCAUGGGAGCUGGUCACGCCUGAAGUCGGUGGGCUAACCGUAAGGAGGCAGCCGCCAAAGGCAGGGCUGGUGACUGGGACGAAGUCGUAACAAGGUAGCC
This 853-nucleotide ribosomal RNA is filed under the name uncultured bacterium. Its description in RNAcentral is "bacterial SSU rRNA". It matches the Rfam family "Bacterial small subunit ribosomal RNA", at positions 634 to 1501 of the family's 1533-position model. The record is from RNAcentral.